Molecule: long non-coding RNA, 475 nt
Organism: Crotalus tigris (Tiger rattlesnake)
Lineage: Eukaryota; Metazoa; Chordata; Lepidosauria; Squamata; Viperidae
Exons: 3
Source: RefSeq, a predicted model, not a curated record
GUGGGGAUGGAGAAUUUAAAGCAAGAACACAACUGCAUCAGGCACAUAUCCUGGACAUUGUGAAAUUCCCUGAGGAUGGGGCUCCAGCAUGAGUCUGAAAGCUUGGAAGAAUGAACCUCUGACCGAUUCAGAUUGGAUCCUGUAACAAAAUGAUGUGUUCAAAUACAAGCCCACAGAAGCACCCACAUACUUACAUCAACACAGCUGGAGUGGGAAGGAAAUGAUCAAGAGUGAGGUCAGGUGGAAACAAACAAAAAAUGCAGAAGGUGAUAAUUACCUUAUUAACAAUGACCAUCAAAAGCAGUUAUGGGGUUACAUUUCAAAAAGAUGACUGACUCAAAGAGUCAGUAUAAAACAGACAAGAGAUUUAUCCUUCUAUAACUGGAUUACAGAAGGCAGAAAUCCAACAUUUUCAAGUGGUAAAAGAGAAAUGCAAGCAAUCAUAGGCAACAAGAUUCAGCAAAUAAUACUACAG